AAGUCGUAACAAGGUUUCCGUAGGUGAACCUGCGGAAGGAUCAUUAUCGAGUCUUUGAAGUGGGUCUUUGAGCUGGCCUUCAUUGGCAAGUGCUCGGGUCCCGCUCCAAAAUCCACUCAACUACACCUGUGCACUUUCGGAGGAUUCGCGGGGGGAACUUGUUUCCCCUGCGAGCCACCCUCCGUCUCUUAUCACAAACAUCGUAUUACAUGUCUUGUAGAACGCGUUGAAUGCCUUACGGGGCAAAAACAUAAUACAACUUUCAACAACGGAUCUCUUGGCUCUC
RNAcentral lists this unclassified non-coding RNA (286 nucleotides) under Hyphodontia sp. RNAcentral's name for it is "partial internal transcribed spacer region". The stretch from base 1 to 46 matches the Rfam family "Eukaryotic small subunit ribosomal RNA", at positions 1786 to 1831 of the family's 1831-position model. The record is from RNAcentral. Lineage: Eukaryota; Fungi; Basidiomycota; Agaricomycetes; Hymenochaetales; Schizoporaceae.